This 465-nucleotide ribosomal RNA is filed under the name Vreelandella stevensii. RNAcentral's name for it is "partial 16S ribosomal RNA". It matches the Rfam family "Bacterial small subunit ribosomal RNA", at positions 338 to 795 of the family's 1533-position model. Lineage: Bacteria; Pseudomonadati; Pseudomonadota; Gammaproteobacteria; Oceanospirillales; Halomonadaceae. The record is from RNAcentral.
CCUACGGGAGGCAGUAGUGGGGAAUAUUGGACAAUGGGGGCAACCCUGAUCCAGCCAUGCCGCGUGUGUGAAGAAGGCCCUCGGGUUGUAAAGCACUUUCAGUGAGGAAGAACGCCUGGUGGUUAAUACCCAUCAGGAAAGACAUCACUCACAGAAGAAGCACCGGCUAACUCCGUGCCAGCAGCCGCGGUAAUACGGAGGGUGCGAGCGUUAAUCGGAAUUACUGGGCGUAAAGCGCGCGUAGGUGGCUUGAUAAGCCGGUUGUGAAAGCCCCGGGCUCAACCUGGGAACGGCAUCCGGAACUGUCAAGCUAGAGUGCAGGAGAGGAAGGUAGAAUUCCCGGUGUAGCGGUGAAAUGCGUAGAGAUCGGGAGGAAUACCAGUGGCGAAGGCGGCCUUCUGGACUGACACUGACACUGAGGUGCGAAAGCGUGGGUAGCAAACAGGAUUAGAUACCCCUGUAGUC